Molecule: ribosomal RNA, 253 nt
Filed under: uncultured bacterium
Lineage: Bacteria
Description: partial 16S ribosomal RNA
Rfam family: Bacterial small subunit ribosomal RNA
Source: RNAcentral
UACGUAGGUGGCAAGCGUUGUUCGGAAUUAUUGGGCGUAAAGAGCUCGUAGGCGGUUUGUCGCGUCUGCUGUGAAAACUCGGGGCUUAACUCCGGGCCUGCAGUGGGUACGGGCAGACUAGAGUGCGGUAGGGGAGACUGGAAUUCCUGGUGUAGCGGUGAAAUGCGCAGAUAUCAGGAGGAACACCGGUGGCGAAGGCGGGUCUCUGGGCCGUAACUGACGCUGAGGAGCGAAAGCGUGGGGAGCGAACAGG